Long non-coding RNA from Zalophus californianus (California sea lion), 714 nucleotides. RefSeq lists it as uncharacterized. Lineage: Eukaryota; Metazoa; Chordata; Mammalia; Carnivora; Otariidae. The transcript is spliced from 3 exons. The record is from RefSeq and is a predicted model, not a curated record.
CUAUCAUUGACCUUCGGCAGAUUCGGCAGACAGCCUGAGCGUGGCUGACCACGGGGAACUGGAACCCCGGAAAGAGAAACCGAGGACGGGGGACGGAUACUGCUGCACCGUGCCAGGAGCUGGCCACGGAGAUGCAGUUACCUCCGGUGGGAAGUGAGAAAAGAUUUCAGUCUAAAAUGGAAUCGGAGGAGAGGAAAUGGAGAACCUCACGCAUGCGCCCUAAGGAUGAAGGGCUGCGCUUGAUUUCCCGCUCUAGGCUGAUUCACGUUAAGACUGAGACUUAGCGCCUGACCCAUGAACGUCCGGCAAGAAUCUCUCCUCACCCUCAAGCCAAUGAACUUACUGCUUGGACGCUGGCCGGACUCCCCGCUUUGCCCUCCUCGCAGGAGCCUGAGCACAGGAUCAUCACUGUCCCUCCCAGGACCAGUCACCAUGUCACCAGAGGAGCCCUGGUCACAGAGCAGACAGAGCUGGAGGACAGAAGGAGAGAUAAACUCAGUGCUCUGGACCAAAGGAGUGUGGACCUUAGCACAGCAGGACUCGUGAGAAGAUGCAGAGAGCACAGGGAGAGAGUCUGCAGGUUUCCCCUUUUGGAAGAAUUCCUCCGAAAGCAUCGCUUGAUCAUGUACUUUAUCCUGGAUGGAUGAGCGGACCUCAGAAGACCUGCCACAGAUGCAGCUCCCUUUAAAAGCGUGGCCCUUCACCCUAUGAGCC